GGAGGAGGAGGAGGGUAUCCCAACGGUUGAUCUGGUUUCAGAUGUGGAGGAAAAUAGCGAUGAGGAGCCGACUCUGAGCGAAGCCGACACCGAAAUUUACACACCGCUACAAGCAAACGAUCUGGAUGAAUCUGAAUAUGGAGAAGAAGAAAAUGAGGAGGAGGAGGAAAACGAAGAAGAACA
Long non-coding RNA from Pogonomyrmex barbatus (red harvester ant), 183 nucleotides. The record is from RefSeq and is a predicted model, not a curated record. Lineage: Eukaryota; Metazoa; Arthropoda; Insecta; Hymenoptera; Formicidae.